AUUGAACGCUGGCGGAAUGCUUUACACAUGCAAGUCGAACGGCAGCACGGGGGCAACCCUGGUGGCGAGUGGCGAACGGGUGAGUAAUACAUCGGAACGUGCCCAGUCGUGGGGGAUAACGUAGCGAAAGCUACGCUAAUACCGCAUACGAUCUACGGAUGAAAGCGGGGGAUCGCAAGACCUCGCGCGAUUGGAGCGGCCGAUGGCAGAUUAGGUAGUUGGUGGGGUAAAGGCUCACCAAGCCGACGAUCUGUAGCUGGUCUGAGAGGACGACCAGCCACACUGGGACUGAGACACGGCCCAGACUCCUACGGGAGGCAGCAGUGGGGAAUUUUGGACAAUGGGCGCAAGCCUGAUCCAGCCAUUCCGCGUGCAGGAUGAAGGCC
This 386-nucleotide ribosomal RNA is filed under the name uncultured bacterium. RNAcentral describes it as "bacterial SSU rRNA". It matches the Rfam family "Bacterial small subunit ribosomal RNA", at positions 29 to 416 of the family's 1533-position model. The record is from RNAcentral.